UUUUCAUACCCAUGUUGUGCAUAAAUUAGACCGGGUAUAGUAGAUAGUACUAUUAUCUUUCAUUUAACUCUUUAUACGGCGGUGGCAACUAUAUAGCCACCUUUUCGUUUCGUUCAUAACGCAAGAAUUUGAAGUGAGAAGUGUUCCAAUCUAAUGAAAUCUACUUCAUUUGUAUUCGAACCCAGGUACAUUGUGUUACUACAUUCGUCGCUCUUCCAUCUAAGCCAUAUCGCCUUUCUACUAGCACAUGAAAAAUUGGUCAUCAUACCAAUCAAGGGGUGCAACCUUAGAACAGGAGGUGCCUUACACCUCGGAUGGUAACGUCAUUUUUCUCGAUAAUUUUUUUCAUCACAUCGGAGCAUUUUUUUCAAAACCUCGAAUCAUUUGGCAUUAAAAGUCGUUAUUUUAUUCAUCUACUGUGCUGCUGUUAAAGUUAAUAAAAUGAACCAGUGUUAUAUCCACGAUACAGGCACCGGUCACUUUUUCUGCAUUGUGCAAACCAUGAAGCGAGUCGACCGGUUCUUUCAAUAGUUCUACAUCAAUGGAUCGAUGGAAAAUAUCGAUUAUGGCCACCAAAGCGGUUGGAAUUACUUAUAAGAGAUCCAUCAUCGAAACCAUCUCCAAAUUGGAACAGAUUAAAAUGCGAAGUAAAACGAAAAUAUAU
Molecule: long non-coding RNA, 664 nt
Organism: Topomyia yanbarensis
Lineage: Eukaryota; Metazoa; Arthropoda; Insecta; Diptera; Culicidae
Exons: 4
Source: RefSeq, a predicted model, not a curated record